This 636-nucleotide ribosomal RNA is filed under the name uncultured bacterium. RNAcentral describes it as "bacterial SSU rRNA". It matches the Rfam family "Bacterial small subunit ribosomal RNA", at positions 607 to 1244 of the family's 1533-position model. The record is from RNAcentral.
GCUUAACCGGAGAAGUGCAUCGGAAACUGGGAGACUUGAGUGCAGAAGAGGACAGUGGAACUCCAUGUGUAGCGGUGGAAUGCGUAGAUAUAUGGAAGAACACCAGUGGCGAAGGCGGCUGUCUAGUCUGUAACUGACGCUGAGGCUCGAAAGCAUGGGUAGCGAACAGGAUUAGAUACCCUGGUAGUCCAUGCCGUAAACGAUGAGUGCUAAGUGUUGGAGGGUUUCCGCCCUUCAGUGCUGCAGCUAACGCAUUAAGCACUCCGCCUGGGGAGUACGACCGCAAGGUUGAAACUCAAAGGAAUUGACGGGGGCCCGCACAAGCGGUGGAGCAUGUGGUUUAAUUCGAAGCUACGCGAAGAACCUUACCAGGUCUUGACAUCUUCUGCCAAUCUUAGAGAUAAGACGUUCCCUUCGGGGACAGAAUGACAGGUGGUGCAUGGUUGUCGUCAGCUCGUGUCGUGAGAUGUUGGGUUAAGUCCCGCAACGAGCGCAACCCUUAUUAUCAGUUGCCAGCAUUCAGUUGGGCACUCUGGUGAGACUGCCGGUGACAAACCGGAGGAAGGUGGGAUGACGUCAAAUCAUCAUGCCCCUUAUGACCUGGGCUACACACGUGCUACAAUGGACGGUACAACG